GAUGCCAUCCAGGCGCACGGCGGGUAUAGUGGUUCCGCAACCUUGGGAUGUUCGGCCGAGCGCCUGCCUAACCCUCCUGACUGGAGGGUCAGCGGCGGGGAGUCCUGGCCUUCAAUCGGCCAUCGCCACGGCAGAAACUGGGGCCCGGGCCUUCCCCGUCCGUCCACAGGUCUCAUGGGCGCCCGGACUGGGGCUGAUGUAGUUUCCCGACCUCUGACACAUAGAAUCUGGAGAUUAAAGCUGCUCUGCUAAUAAUUAGGUUCCCACCUCUCAAGAUCAUUAGGAGCUUCUUUUCCAAUUUCUCUGUUUUGCAUGCAUUGGAAGGCCCCUGGAUCCUCCUGGAAUCCGUGAUCCCUGUUGCUCCCUGGCGGAGUUUUCUAGUCCCUCUUACUUGAAGCAUGUCUUUCAGAGCCCGGCACCACCCAAGUUGGGUAUCUGCUCCUGCUGUCUUCCAUGCUGGGGACAGGAAAGGCUCCACGCUUGACUUUCCCUCCUGUUUUCUUAUCUGCUGUCAACCCCUGA
Molecule: long non-coding RNA, 522 nt
Filed under: Pan troglodytes (chimpanzee)
Lineage: Eukaryota; Metazoa; Chordata; Mammalia; Primates; Hominidae
Description: lincRNA
Source: RNAcentral